This 2736-nucleotide ribosomal RNA is filed under the name Klebsiella pneumoniae. The record is from RNAcentral. Lineage: Bacteria; Pseudomonadati; Pseudomonadota; Gammaproteobacteria; Enterobacterales; Enterobacteriaceae.
GUGAACUCGAAGAGUAGGGCGGGACACGUGGUAUCCUGUCUGAAUAUGGGGGGACCAUCCUCCAAGGCUAAAUACUCCUGACUGACCGAUAGUGAACCAGUACCGUGAGGGAAAGGCGAAAAGAACCCCGGCGAGGGGAGUGAAAAAGAACCUGAAACCGUGUACGUACAAGCAGUGGGAGCACCUUCGGGUGUGACUGCGUACCUUUUGUAUAAUGGGUCAGCGACUUAUAUUCUGUAGCAAGGUUAACCGUAUAGGGGAGCCGCAGGGAAACCGAGUCUUAACUGGGCGUUAAGUUGCAGGGUAUAGACCCGAAACCCGGUGAUCUAGCCAUGGGCAGGUUGAAGGUUGGGUAACACUAACUGGAGGACCGAACCGACUAAUGUUGAAAAAUUAGCGGAUGACUUGUGGCUGGGGGUGAAAGGCCAAUCAAACCGGGAGAUAGCUGGUUCUCCCCGAAAGCUAUUUAGGUAGCGCCUCGUGAAUUCAUCUUCGGGGGUAGAGCACUGUUUCGGCUAGGGGGUCAUCCCGACUUACCAACCCGAUGCAAACUACGAAUACCGAAGAAUGUUAUCACGGGAGACACACGGCGGGUGCUAACGUCCGUCGUGAAGAGGGAAACAACCCAGACCGCCAGCUAAGGUCCCAAAGUCAUGGUUAAGUGGGAAACGAUGUGGGAAGGCACAGACAGCCAGGAUGUUGGCUUAGAAGCAGCCAUCAUUUAAAGAAAGCGUAAUAGCUCACUGGUCGAGUCGGCCUGCGCGGAAGAUGUAACGGGGCUAAACCAUGCACCGAAGCUGCGGCAGCGACACUAUGUGUUGUUGGGUAGGGGAGCGUUCUGUAAGCCUGCGAAGGUGACCUGUGAGGGUUGCUGGAGGUAUCAGAAGUGCGAAUGCUGACAUAAGUAACGAUAAAGCGGGUGAAAAGCCCGCUCGCCGGAAGACCAAGGGUUCCUGUCCAACGUUAAUCGGGGCAGGGUGAGUCGACCCCUAAGGCGAGGCCGAAAGGCGUAGUCGAUGGGAAACAGGUUAAUAUUCCUGUACUUGGUGUUACUGCGAAGGGGGGACGGAGAAGGCUAUGUUAGCCGGGCGACGGUUGUCCCGGUUUAAGCAUGUAGGCUGGUUAUCCAGGCAAAUCCGGAUAAUCAAGGCUGAGGUGUGAUGACGAGGCACUACGGUGCUGAAGUAACAAAUGCCCUGCUUCCAGGAAAAGCCUCUAAGCAUCAGGUAACAUCAAAUCGUACCCCAAACCGACACAGGUGGUCAGGUAGAGAAUACCAAGGCGCUUGAGAGAACUCGGGUGAAGGAACUAGGCAAAAUGGUGCCGUAACUUCGGGAGAAGGCACGCUGGUGUGUAGGUGAAGUCCCUGCGGAUGGAGCUGAGACCAGUCGAAGAUACCAGCUGGCUGCAACUGUUUAUUAAAAACACAGCACUGUGCAAACACGAAAGUGGACGUAUACGGUGUGACGCCUGCCCGGUGCCGGAAGGUUAAUUGAUGGGGUUAUCCGUAAGGAGAAGCUCUUGAUCGAAGCCCCGGUAAACGGCGGCCGUAACUAUAACGGUCCUAAGGUAGCGAAAUUCCUUGUCGGGUAAGUUCCGACCUGCACGAAUGGCGUAAUGAUGGCCAGGCUGUCUCCACCCGAGACUCAGUGAAAUUGAACUCGCUGUGAAGAUGCAGUGUACCCGCGGCAAGACGGAAAGACCCCGUGAACCUUUACUAUAGCUUGACACUGAACAUUGAGCCUUGAUGUGUAGGAUAGGUGGGAGGCUUUGAAGCGUGGACGCCAGUCUGCGUGGAGCCAACCUUGAAAUACCACCCUUUAAUGUUUGAUGUUCUAACGUUGGCCCCUUACCGGGGUUGCGGACAGUGUCUGGUGGGUAGUUUGACUGGGGCGGUCUCCUCCCAAAGCGUAACGGAGGAGCACGAAGGUUAGCUAAUCCUGGUCGGACAUCAGGAGGUUAGUGCAAUGGCAUAAGCUAGCUUGACUGCGAGCGUGACGGCGCGAGCAGGUGCGAAAGCAGGUCAUAGUGAUCCGGUGGUUCUGAAUGGAAGGGCCAUCGCUCAACGGAUAAAAGGUACUCCGGGGAUAACAGGCUGAUACCGCCCAAGAGUUCAUAUCGACGGCGGUGUUUGGCACCUCGAUGUCGGCUCAUCACAUCCUGGGGCUGAAGUAGGUCCCAAGGGUAUGGCUGUUCGCCAUUUAAAGUGGUACGCGAGCUGGGUUUAGAACGUCGUGAGACAGUUCGGUCCCUAUCUGCCGUGGGCGCUGGAGAAUUGAGGGGGGCUGCUCCUAGUACGAGAGGACCGGAGUGGACGCAUCACUGGUGUUCGGGUUGUCAUGCCAAUGGCACUGCCCGGUAGCUAAAUGCGGAAGAGAUAAGUGCUGAAAGCAUCUAAGCACGAAACUUGCCCCGAGAUGAGUUCUCCCUGAGACUUUAAGUCUCCUGAAGGAACGUUNNNNNNNNNNNNNNNNNNNNNNNNNNNNNNNNNNNNNNNNNNNNNNNNNNNNNNNNNNNNNNNNNNNNNNNNNNNNNNNNNNNNNNNNNNNNNNNAGAAUUUGCCUGGCGGCACUAGCGCGGUGGUCCCACCUGACCCCAUGCCGAACUCAGAAGUGAAACGCCGUAGCGCCGAUGGUAGUGUGGGGUCUCCCCAUGUGAGAGUAGGGAACUGCCAGGCAUCAAAUUGCAGUAAGCCGGGGUGACAACCGGUGGUAAUAAAGCGAAGAAAUUCGGUGG